RNAcentral lists this ribosomal RNA (440 nucleotides) under uncultured bacterium. RNAcentral's name for it is "partial 16S ribosomal RNA". It matches the Rfam family "Bacterial small subunit ribosomal RNA", at positions 338 to 795 of the family's 1533-position model. The record is from RNAcentral.
CCUACGGGUGGCAGCAGUGGGGAAUAUUGCACAAUGGGGGAAACCCUGAUGCAGCGACGCCGCGUGAGUGAAGAAGUAUUUCGUUACGUAAAGCUCUAUCAGCAGGGAAGAAAAUGCCUGUCCCUGAGUAAGAAGCCGCGGCUAACUCCGUGACAGCAGCCGCGGUAAUACGGAGGGGGCGAGCGUUAUCCGGAUUUACUGGGGGUAAAGGGAGCGUAGACGGCAGUGCAAGUCGGGAGUGAAAGGCGGGGGCUCAACCGCCGGACUGCUCUGGAGACUGUACGGCUGGAGUGCCGGAGAGGUAAGUGGAAUGCCAGGUGUAGGAGUGAAAGGCGUAGAUAUUAGGAGGAACACCAGUGGCGAAGGCGGCCAACUGGACUGUAACUGACGUUGAGGCUCGAAAGCGUGGGGAGCAAACAGGAUUAGAUACCCGAGUAGUC